RNAcentral lists this ribosomal RNA (253 nucleotides) under uncultured bacterium. RNAcentral's name for it is "partial 16S ribosomal RNA". It matches the Rfam family "Bacterial small subunit ribosomal RNA", at positions 524 to 776 of the family's 1533-position model. The record is from RNAcentral.
UACGAAGGUGGCAAGCGUUGUCCGGAUUUAUUGGGUUUAAAGGGUGCGUAGGCGGCCCUGUAAGUCAGUGCUGAAAUAUCCCGGCUUAACCGGGAGGGUGGCAUUGAUACUGUAGGGCUUGAGUAAAGUUGAGGUUGGCGGAAUUGACGGUGUAGCGGUGAAAUGCUUAGAUAUCGUCAAGAACACCGAUAGUGAAGACAGCUAACUAAGCUUUAACUGACGCUGAGGCACGAAAGUGUGGGGAUCAAACAGG